GGUUCGGUGGCGGAUGGUCCGCAUCUCCAAUACCUGGGAAUUGGGGAAAAUAACCCGCUUGUUACAGCAGAAGGUCGCUCGUUCGAAUCGAGCUCGAGCCA
This is a non-coding RNA of Mycena capillaripes, 101 nucleotides long. NCBI's taxonomy places the organism in Eukaryota, Fungi, Basidiomycota, Agaricomycetes, Agaricales, Mycenaceae. The record is from the annotation of a GenBank genome assembly.